UACGAAGGGGGCUAGCGUUGUUCGGAUUUACUGGGCGUAAAGCGCACGUAGGCGGAUUGUUAAGUGAGAGGUGAAAUCCCGGAGCUCAACUCCGGAACUGCCUUUCAUACUGGCAAUCUAGAGUCCGGAAGAGGUGAGUGGAACUCCUAGUGUAGAGGUGGAAUUCGUAGAUAUUAGGAAGAACACCAGUGGCGAAGGCGGCUCACUGGUCCGGUACUGACGCUGAGGUGCGAAAGCGUGGGGAGCAAACAGG
RNAcentral lists this ribosomal RNA (253 nucleotides) under uncultured bacterium. RNAcentral's name for it is "partial 16S ribosomal RNA". It matches the Rfam family "Bacterial small subunit ribosomal RNA", at positions 524 to 776 of the family's 1533-position model. The record is from RNAcentral.